GCUUCGUGGAUCUAUAUAAUUACAAAUAUUACAUUUUAACCCAGUUUAUCACCCCUUGAGAAAUGUGGUUUAUUCUAACUCAGUUACAGUGAGUGGCAUAGCGAUUAUCUCGGGUUCUAGUUGAAGCGGACGUGGUUAGAUCUGGAAAAUGAAAAGCUUUCUAACCCGGGCAUCAAACCAUUUGGCUAUCAUCCUGAUUAGACUAACCAAUCACCUUACAAGUUUCAAAUCAUGUUCAACUAGACAGUCCCAGCCAGGGAGCAGUGCUCAUCAUCUAGAUCAAACAUCUACAUAAGAAUAAUAUAUGAAGUAAUUAC
RNAcentral lists this small RNA (317 nucleotides) under Histoplasma ohiense. RNAcentral describes it as "hypothetical lncRNA". Lineage: Eukaryota; Fungi; Ascomycota; Eurotiomycetes; Onygenales; Ajellomycetaceae. The record is from RNAcentral.